AUCUAGUUGGCAGAAUAAUGCACUUGGCUUAGGACCAAAAUAUGAGGAUUUUCCUCACUAGAUA
This 64-nucleotide transfer RNA is filed under the name Thelepus plagiostoma. Its description in RNAcentral is "tRNA-Leu". It matches the Rfam family "tRNA". From Rfam's summary of the family: Transfer RNA (tRNA) molecules are approximately 80 nucleotides in length. Their secondary structure includes four short double-helical elements and three loops (D, anti-codon, and T loops). Further hydrogen bonds mediate the characteristic L-shaped molecular structure. tRNAs have two regions of fundamental functional importance: the anti-codon, which is responsible for specific mRNA codon recognition, and the 3' end, to which the tRNAs corresponding amino acid is attached (by aminoacyl-tRNA synthetases). tRNAs cope with the degeneracy of the genetic code in two manners: having more than one tRNA (with a specific anti-codon) for a particular amino acid; and 'wobble' base-pairing, i.e. permitting non-standard base-pairing at the 3rd anti-codon position. Lineage: Eukaryota; Metazoa; Annelida; Polychaeta; Terebellida; Terebellidae. The record is from RNAcentral.